This 862-nucleotide long non-coding RNA is filed under the name Monodelphis domestica (gray short-tailed opossum). Its description in RNAcentral is "lncRNA (ENSMODG00000033433.2)". Lineage: Eukaryota; Metazoa; Chordata; Mammalia; Didelphimorphia; Didelphidae. The record is from RNAcentral.
CUCUGGAAUGGUUUUUAUACAAAGAGCUUCUAUACCCCUACUACCCCACCAAUUCCAGCAGCAGGAGACCAGCAAACAGGUUUUCUCACUCCUUGAUCCUGGAAAAAAGUCUCACUCAAGAGAUGCAGCAGGUUGGUGGAGACUCCAGGCUUGGCAAGUACCUCCAGGCUAAGUCCCACAAACCAAAGCAGUUGAGUAGAGAUGCCACUUUGGGUCUUGGCCACCAGGAAGACUCUGAAGAGAGAUCCCCUGAGAAGGAAGGUAAAAAGGGACGUGGCAGGAAAAAAACCUCCAGUUAACUGCAAGGUUCCAGUCAAUCAAAAACUUAUUAUGAGUAGCAGUGAAUAUUGCCAACAAUUGGUAUUUCCCAAGACCAAGGGGAUGUGUUUUUUGUGUAUGUAUGUGGGAAAUAAAUUAGGUUUUGUGGCAUCUCACUGGCACUGCCAGGCAAAGGAGUGUACAAGUAUCUCUGAGGGAAAUCCUUCAUUCUCCAGUUUGGAAAAUACCAACUGCCCAUUGAUCUCAAUCUCAAAGGCUCCGGUGCCCCCAAGCUGAACCACUUGCCAGGAGUCUGUACAAGUAUGGAUCAGCCUAGUUGACCUCUGAGGUCCUUUCCAGUCCCGAGAGUCUUGGAUUCUCUGAAAUGAAUUGGUGGGAUGGACUGAAAAGAGGCAUUUUGUAACAAGAACAAGAGAAGGAAGAAUCCAUGGCUGGACUUGUUACAUUUUGUGUAACCUUAGGGCGGUCACGUCAUCUCUCUUUGGCUUAGGUCUGCUUUGAGUCUCUGCAGUGUAUUGAUGUCCUACAGUAGUAAUUUUUAAUGUUGGAGUCUAUAAACUUAAAAGAAAUAUUUUGACAACUA